GGAUGAACGCUGGCGGCGUGCCUAAUACAUGCAAGUCGAGCGAACAGACGAGGAGCUUGCUCCUCUGACGUUAGCGGCGGACGGGUGAGUAACACGUGGAUAACCUACCUAUAAGACUGGGAUAACUUCGGGAAACCGGAGCUAAUACCGGAUAAUAUAUUGAACCGCAUGGUUCAAUAGUGAAAGACGGUUUUGCUGUCACUUAUAGAUGGAUCCGCGCCGCAUUAGCUAGUUGGUAAGGUAACGGCUUACCAAGGCAACGAUGCGUAGCCGACCUGAGAGGGUGAUCGGCCACACUGGAACUGAGACGCGGUCCAGACUCCUACGGGAGGCAGCAGUAGGGAAUCUUCCGCAAUGGGCGAAAGCCUGACGGAGCAACGCCGCGUGAGUGAUGAAGGUCUUCGGAUCGUAAAACUCUGUUAUUAGGGAAGAACAAAUGUGUAAGUAACUAUGCACGUCUUGACGGUACCUAAUCAGAAAGCCACGGCUAACUACGUG
RNAcentral lists this ribosomal RNA (498 nucleotides) under uncultured bacterium. RNAcentral's name for it is "partial 16S ribosomal RNA". It matches the Rfam family "Bacterial small subunit ribosomal RNA", at positions 27 to 507 of the family's 1533-position model. The record is from RNAcentral.